GACGAACGCUGGCGGCGUGCCUAAUACAUGCAAGUUGAGCGAUGAAGAUUGGUGCUUGCACCAAUUUGAAGAGCAGCGAACGUGUGAGUAACGCGUGGGGAAUCUGCCUUUGAGCAGGGGACAACAUUUGGAAACGAAUGCUAAUACCGCAUAACAACUUUAAACAUAAGUUUUAAGUUUGAAAGAUGCAAUUGCAUCACUCAAAGAUGAUCCCGCGUUGUAUUAGCUAGUUGGUGAGGUAAAGGCUCACCAAGGCGAUGAUACAUAGCCGACCUGAGAGGGUGAUCGGCCACAUUGGGACUGAGACACGGCCCAAACUCCUACGGGAGGCAGCAGUAGGGAAUCUUCGGCAAUGGACGAAAGUCUGACCGAGCAACGCCGCGUGAGUGAAGAAGGUUUUCGGAUCGUAAAACUCUGUUGGUAGAGAAGAACGUUGGUGAGAGUGGAAAGCUCAUCAAGUGACGGUAACUACCCAGAAAGGGACGGCUAACUACGUG
This 497-nucleotide ribosomal RNA is filed under the name uncultured bacterium. RNAcentral describes it as "partial 16S ribosomal RNA". It matches the Rfam family "Bacterial small subunit ribosomal RNA", at positions 28 to 507 of the family's 1533-position model. The record is from RNAcentral.